UACUCCGAAUGCCGGUGACGACUAUCCGGGAGGCAGACUGCGGGUGAUAAGGUCCGUAGUCGAGAGGGAAAGAGCCCAGAUCUACAGCUAAGGUCCCCAAAUCCAGUCUAAGUGUCGAAGGAUGUGGGAGCGCUCAGACAGCCAGGAGGUUGGCUUAGAAGCAGCCACCCUUUAAAGAAAGCGUAAUAGCUCACUGGUCGAGCGAGCCUGCGCCGAAAAUGUAACGGGGCUAAAGUCUGGUACCGAAGCUUAGGGUUCUACGCAAGUAGAGCGGUAGCGGAGUAUUGUCAGGUAGAUACAAGCCAUACCGUAAGGAGUGGUGUCGGACCUGAGAAGAGCAAAUGCAGGCAUGAGUAGCGAUAAACAGGAUGAGAAGUCCUGUCGCCGUAAGCCCAAGGUUUCCUGGGGAAGGAUAAUCCUCCCAUGGGUUAGUCGGUCCCUAAGCUGAGCCCGAAAGGGGUAGGUGAUGGCAAGCAGGUUAAUAUUCCUGCACCACUAUAUAUACGUUGACCUGAGCAGGGACGGAGAAGGGUAGGCUGAGCCAGCCGUUUGGUUGUGCUGGUUCAAGCGCGUAGGCGGUUCCCGUAGGACCCAAUAGGGACAAACGCGGGGGCAACGCCGAGACGUGAUGAGGAGGAGCUCCGGCUCCGUAACUCGGUGAUCCCAUGCUUCCAAGAAAAGCUGCGCAGCGAGUAUAUGUAGUGACCGUACCGCAAACCGACUCAGGUGGGCGGGGUGAAUAUCCCAAGGCGCGUGGGAGAACACUGGCUAAGGAACUCGGCAAAUUGACACCGUAACUUCGGGAGAAGGUGUGCCCCCAUUACGUGAAAGCCCUGCGGCCGUAGCGGAAGGGGGUUGCAGAGAAACGAGGGUUGCGACUGUUUACCAAAAACACAGGACUCUGCGAACUCGUAAGAGGACGUAUAGGGUCUGACGCCUCCCCGGUGCUGGAAGGUUAAGGGGAGAUGUUAGUCUUCGGGCGAAGCUUCGAACCGAAGCCCCAGUAAACGGCGGCCGUAACAAUAACGGUCCUAAGGUAGCGAAAUUCCUUGUCGGGUAAGUUCCGACCUGCACGAAUGGCGUAACGACAUCCCUACUGUCUCGGCCAGUGACCCAGCGAAAUUGUAUUGGGGGUGAAGAUACCCUCUACCCGCGGCAAGACGGAAAGACCCCGUGAACCUUUACUGCAACUUGGCAGUGAAGCUCGGGACAUUCUGCGUAGGAUAGGUGGGAGACUUUGAAACCGGGGUUCCGGCUUCGGUGGAGUCAACCUUGAAAUACCACCCUGAAUGUUCUGGGCUUCUAACCCAGCACCGUUAUCCGGUGCGGGGACACUGUCUGGUGGGCAGUUUGACUGGGGCGGUCGCCUCCCU
Molecule: ribosomal RNA, 1373 nt
Filed under: metagenome
Description: bacterial LSU rRNA
Rfam family: Bacterial large subunit ribosomal RNA
Source: RNAcentral